RNAcentral lists this ribosomal RNA (429 nucleotides) under Chloroflexota bacterium. RNAcentral describes it as "Chloroflexi bacterium partial 16S ribosomal RNA". It matches the Rfam family "Bacterial small subunit ribosomal RNA", at positions 355 to 776 of the family's 1533-position model. The record is from RNAcentral. Lineage: Bacteria; Bacillati; Chloroflexota. RNAcentral also lists the same sequence under 1 other name.
UAGGGAAUCUUCGGCAAUGGACGAAAGUCUGACCGAGCAACGCCGCGUGAGUGAAGAAGGUUUUCGGAUCGUAAAACUCUGUUGUUAGAGAAGAACAAGGACGUUAGUAACUGAACGUCCCCUGACGGUAUCUAACCAGAAAGCCACGGCUAACUACGUGCCAGCAGCCGCGGUAAUACGUAGGUGGCAAGCGUUGUCCGGAUUUAUUGGGCGUAAAGCGAGCGCAGGCGGUUUCUUAAGUCUGAUGUGAAAGCCCCCGGCUCAACCGGGGAGGGUCAUUGGAAACUGGGAGACUUGAGUGCAGAAGAGGAGAGUGGAAUUCCAUGUGUAGCGGUGAAAUGCGUAGAUAUAUGGAGGAACACCAGUGGCGAAGGCGGCUCUCUGGGCUGUAACUGACGCUGAGGCUCGAAAGCGUGGGGAGCAAACAGG